Portunus trituberculatus (swimming crab) is the source of this 918-nucleotide long non-coding RNA. RefSeq lists it as uncharacterized. The record is from RefSeq and is a predicted model, not a curated record. Lineage: Eukaryota; Metazoa; Arthropoda; Malacostraca; Decapoda; Portunidae. The transcript has 2 exons.
CCUCACUGGCUCUCCCUUAUCACGUCAAAAAGAUGGUCUCGAAGUGGCAGCUGGUGGCAUUGGCAGUGGUGGUGGUGGUGGUGGUGGCGGUGGAGAAGGCGGAGGCAAAUCACUUAGGAAGGAACAUGAAAUUGAGUGAAGUUGCAGAAGCCAAUGGCGCGCAAUCCUCUCCCUUCGUGGAGCUCAAAGGAUACUCUGGCUCCAGUGACGUUAAGGGAGCGAUAGGGCGGCAAAAGAGAUGGGUUGGUAGCCUCAUUUUUAAAUUGAUGAAAGUGGCCAAACACGUAAAAGGCGCGUUCUCAAGGAGCGGAGAACUGGACAUCUCUAACUCUGAUCUAGAGAGAGCAUUGAAUGAGGUAGAAUUUGAAGAUUUAGUGCAGAAAAAAGAGAUACCUUCAUUAGAUUCAAUAAUCAAUAAAGAAAGAACGCAGAAGAGCGGUGAAGUAAUAAUAAGAGGAAUAGACACGAAAGGAUAAUAAUGAACACAUCCACCACACUCUCCAUACUCACCACCUUACUACGAAUACGUCAACAGAGUGAAAUGGAAAGCUGCUCAUGAAAAGAAAGGGUCUCGUGUUCACCAAGACGCUUCACUAGUGUGGCUGGUGCGUCAGGGUACCUUCAUCGUGUUACCAUCACGUCACCUGCACCAAGAUACAUUAUUUAGAUACACUGAUGUAUUUUUUGCAGGGUUUUUCUCUUUCCUUUUCUAGUGAGGCAAGGAGUAUUUCUUCCUUAGUCUUUUCUUGCGUGUUUCCGCACUGCACCUCACCGAUCUAUUAGAAGCACCAACAAGACACUCCGCUCCCUGGGUGUCUGUCUGUGAUUGUAAUACAACUGCUAGCCGUAGACUAUUCUGGUUAUGAUCGAACGUUAUGGAGAACAGAGAUAAAGAGAAAUAAAGAGAAAAAACUGCAA